This 440-nucleotide ribosomal RNA is filed under the name uncultured bacterium. RNAcentral's name for it is "bacterial SSU rRNA". It matches the Rfam family "Bacterial small subunit ribosomal RNA", at positions 338 to 795 of the family's 1533-position model. The record is from RNAcentral.
CCUACGGGAGGCUGCAGUGGGGAAUCUUGGACAAUGGGCGCAAGCCUGAUCCAGCGACGCCGCGUGGGUGACGAAGGCCUUCGGGGUGUAAACUACUGUCAGGGGAAAGAAAGUUCUGAUCUACCCCAGAGGAAGGGACGGCUAACUCUGUGCCAGCAGCCGCGGUAAGACAGAGGUCCCGAGCGUUAGGCGGAAUCACUGGGCUUAAAGCGUGUGUAGGUGGAUGCCUAAGUACCUUGUGAAAUCCCACGGCUCACCCGUGGAACUGCUCGGUAUACUGGGUGUCUUGAGCCACUUAGGGGCUACCGGAACAAAUGGUGGAGCGGUGAAAUGCGUAGAUAUCAUUUGGAACGCCAAUGGUGAAAACAGGUAGCUGGGAGUGUGCUGACGCUGAGACACGAAAGCCAGGGGAGCAAACGGGAUUAGAUACCCCUGUAGUC